RNAcentral lists this ribosomal RNA (229 nucleotides) under uncultured bacterium. RNAcentral's name for it is "partial 16S ribosomal RNA". It matches the Rfam family "Bacterial small subunit ribosomal RNA", at positions 107 to 334 of the family's 1533-position model. The record is from RNAcentral.
UGAGUAACACGUGUCCAACCUGCCGUCUACUCUUGGCCAGCCUUCUGAAAGGAAGAUUAAUCCAGGAUGGCAUCAUGAGUUCACAUGUCCGCAUGAUUAAAGGUAUUUUCCGGUAGACGAUGGGGAUGCGUUCCAUUAGAUAGUAGGCGGGGUAACGGCCCGCCUAGUCAACGAUGGAUAGGGGUUCUGAGAGGAAGGUCCCCCACAUUGGAACUGAGACACGGUCCAA